CUGGCUUAGUUGUUUGUUUACGUUCGCUGUACAGCGCCGCGCCAAUCAACUGUGACUGGCUUGCUGCAGAGCGUGAGCGUCUUGGGAAUACCCGGUCAAUAUAAUGGAUAUAAUAUGGACACAUAUGACAAUCAAUAUUCGGUAUUUGUUAUGGAUUUAUUGUACAAAUUCCCUGAAAAGAUGCACGUUCCAGGAUGAAUUGAAAAGCUCCCGUAAGGGCUGAGAUGGCAGAGAACAGCUGAUUUGGAACGGAGCAGCAGCUGUUCGCUUUCACAGGGAAAAACUAAGGAACUUCAACCUACUUAGGCCUACUAAUUAACGUUCAAAAGCUAUUAAAUCUUCAACAAAAUAUGCAGAAACGGUCAAAAUCGGUUCAGGGAGUAUAUAGGGAUUAUUAAUGUUGUUUUUGUUGGUGUUUUUUUCUGGAACGAGUAUUCGAAUAUUCGCUCGGAAAAACCAACGAGUAUUCGAAGCCUGAAAAAUGGCAUUCGGGCCAGCCCUAGACUCAACGAAUCAAUGACAAAUUCGUUGCCAACGCUUUUUGUAAUCGAUUUUCAUCGAUUUAAUCAAUUUGUUGUUGCAGCCCUAAUUUAUAAUAUACAUUACAUUAUAUCAAUCACAAAAUAGCAACAGUCCCCUUUCAUACUGCUUCUGUUCUUUAAACAGUGGUUUGCCUGCUUUUCCUCCGUGGUCUGCUCCACUAGCUGCAGUGGGCGGUGGUCUGUGGGGGCGGGCUCUGUGAGCGUUACUGACCAAUAUCAUCCCACUGCAGACACAAAUGGGCAUUCUCGUGUGGUGGGGGUUCCCGUUUAAGCAGACUGGAACGCCUCCUUCUUACUCUUCGUCGCCUUUCUUGCUGAACUGGAUUAAAAUGUCAAAGUGUACUACUCAAAAACCAUGUAAAUAGUGUUGUAAAUAAAAUUCCAAAGCUUUUCAAAUCUUAUUUGGAAAAUAACUUCACAUGGCAUUCCAACCGAAGACGCUGGGGUUGACAAGUUACCGGACUACUACCCAUGCAAGUGAACGGAGCGUUCCACGGCAUUGAGAAGACCCGUGUAAUAAAGGCCUAUAAUAUUUCUGUUUAUGGCAUCGAUUUCUCCUCAGAUUAGGCCAAUAAAGCAAUGAUAACAAAAACCAAAAAAACACAAACGCUCGAUCAAAGGCCCGGCCCGACCCGGCUCAAGGAUAGUGUUGGGAAAUAUCGGCGGGUCGGGUCAAUCAAAAAUCCUCAUUGUUUGACAUGAAUUGGCUAAACAAAUGACCACUUUAGCAUAUUUAUACACAAUUCAAAUUGUGGAAGGAAUUAUUUCCAUUGGUCAUUCUCACCGGGGACAUUAAGAAAUUUCGCUCUUCCUCAUUUUUUUCCCGGGUCAACGAUCGGUAAUAACCGGACAACCGAAACUCUGCUAUAAACCGACCUUACUUUCACUGUCAACACCGAACCCGAUUUUCUCAAACAGAAGUUUCAAAAUAAGAUCUAGUAGUAAGUACGAGUAGCAUAGAACUAACGUUAGCCAAGUGGGGGCUCCAUGAUUGCUAAAUCGAAUGAGAGGUAAAAUUGCCAUUAACGAAGGAAAGCAUAGUAUGCCAUGCGACUGCUUCGCAGUAUACCUUGCGAAACCCAGUAUACCUUGCGAAACACAGUACACCUUUCGAAACCAAGUAUACCUUUCGAAACACCUCGUGAUUGGUCGAUGAAACGCCACCAGGAACGCCUGUUUCAUGGAUUAUAGCAAGCAAAAAAAAAACGUUCUUGUGUCAUGACGGAAACGCCCAAGCCUGCAGAUAGAACCUUCUCUUACUGACCGGCUGGCUAGCUCGCCACGCAGGCGCUAAUGGAGCAUCUAAAC
This is a long non-coding RNA of Gadus macrocephalus (Pacific cod), 1850 nucleotides long. RefSeq lists it as uncharacterized. The record is from RefSeq and is a predicted model, not a curated record. Lineage: Eukaryota; Metazoa; Chordata; Actinopteri; Gadiformes; Gadidae. The transcript has 2 exons.